Mus caroli (Ryukyu mouse) is the source of this 1796-nucleotide long non-coding RNA. RefSeq lists it as uncharacterized. The record is from RefSeq and is a predicted model, not a curated record. NCBI's taxonomy places the organism in Eukaryota, Metazoa, Chordata, Mammalia, Rodentia, Muridae.
UCUGGGCCUGGGGGCAGGGCCUCGGAGGAGUCAGAGUUGCAGUUUCUGGGAUCUGGGCUGCGGCUAUCAGUCCUCCAUCCUGGUGCUGUGUGUGAAGCAUUCCGUGUUCUCUUUGCCAUCAUUGUAUCAUUUAGCUUUCUGCUGACCUUGACUAUCCUUCUCUCCUGCCAACAGCCCUGUCACAAAGAAUGACCCAUUGGCCCAACCCAAUUGGCACCUGAACAGGGACCAGAGUAAGGAGAAAAGGGUUCGGCAACAGUUCCCAAAUUAGGAGGCACCUUAUUUUCUCCAAUACAUUCGAGUACAUUCUGGUCUCCUUGGUCUUUUGGCAGAGGAAGGUGAUGGUCCGUCUUGGGUUCCCGAGAGUCUUAUCAAACACUCCCAGGUCACAAAAGCGAUGGCUGCAUCACAGGCGCCAGAAGUUGAGGGUGCAGAAGAUGAUGAGUUUCAAGGCACAGCAGAGCCCAAAGCGUCCUAUCCAGUCUACCCAGAAGCGUCUAUUCCAGACUUGGAAACAGAUUAAACACUUUACUGCUGAAGGCAUUCAAGUGGUCAAGGCCAAAGGGCAACGUAUUUCUCCUACUCGCUUAGUUUCAGCAUUUCUGGCAUUAUUCUCUGCCCCGCUGGCAGAAAGUGUGGGGGUCUACUGGGCUUAGGUACCUGAUCCUGCUUUGGCCCACUUGGGAGGAUUCAGCAACUGGAGUGUUUACUAAUGAUAAAGUGUUUUUGACAGUCCUGGUAUUUCUCAUGUGCUGCCUUGCACUGCGCUCUCAUCCAUCAUUCCCAUUUGUCAUUUGUGGGUCAUUAUGCAUGUGUCCCUCUAAUCCAAGUGAUCCAAAAAACUUGUCUUUGGAGUACAGGAGAGUUUUCUAAACAUCAUCAGUUCACCCAUCAAUUUAGUUUUCCAGUCUCUAAUCACUCACAGGUUACCCCAUUGGAUGGAUGUGUCCAAGUAUGCAAUGAGAAUCCUGUGCCCUAGUUUCCAGAAUGGAAUACCCAUGCCAUGGUUCUAAAGAAUUCUGUGCCUCUGAAUGGAUGACCUAAGGUGCUUGUCGACUUGUCUUGGAGGUGCCCACCGGACCUGAAUGAAGAUAACUUAGGUGCCGAGGGCCAUGUAGGAGGAGUGGCAAAUGGCUUUAGAACUCAUGGAAUUUGGCUCACAGGUUACCACAGUCACAUGGGUAGCCUUGGUGUGGUAAAGGACCACGUGCCCUGAGGACUUCAUGCUGUUACAGAGUUCUUCUCUGCUUGCUGCCCUCACAUCCCUCUUCAUCUAAACACUGUAUGAAAACUUUAAGGGGGCGUCCAGCCCCUCACUGGGCAGCAUCUCUGGCACUCACAGUACUAAUGUUUGGUCUCUUUCAGGCACUGCUGCUGGAGCAGAUUAAUGAUUCUAUCACCACCCUAGGAAAGAACUUAGAGAUGCAGAUUGUCAGCAGUGACCACGAUUUUUAGAAAACAUUUAGAAAAAUAAAGUUGUUAGUGAAAGUAGGUUGAAAUAUUUUUGCUACUGGCUGAUAUAAAAUAAUCUUAGGAAACAAUCUGAAGUUCAAAAAGGCACACUCUUAAUAGUUAUGCUAGGGACCUAAAGGUCAGGGAACAAUGGCAGCACUGGCUGACGUGACUUUCACUGAGGCUGGACUGGUUGUAAUUGAUUUCUUAUACUCAGUUUUGCCCUCAGCUUCCUGAAAGUAUAAGAAUUGCUGAUGAGUAGAUAUAUAUUUUAAGGAUUUAUGAUAGAUAUGACUGCUUUUCAUAUAAAACUUUAGAUUUAUGACUCUUUUAAGAUUCUCAGA